CGAACACGAUGAGUAGAUAUCAAACAAUGUCAACUCGCCCCACUGGUCAAUCGGCCCACACUUUAUCGCCACUUUAUAAAAAAAUCGACCCACUCUUGUUUACCGUCUCGCCCCACUUUUGAAAAAGUGUAAAAUCAAAUUGAACAAUCAGUCUGGCAACUCAUUUAUUAUCGAAAAGGGUUUAAACCCCACUGAAUAAAGGUCUGCCAACUCGCCCCA
Molecule: long non-coding RNA, 219 nt
Filed under: Mytilus galloprovincialis (Mediterranean mussel)
Lineage: Eukaryota; Metazoa; Mollusca; Bivalvia; Mytilida; Mytilidae
Source: RNAcentral